This 248-nucleotide unclassified non-coding RNA is filed under the name uncultured Pleosporales. RNAcentral describes it as "sequence contains 5.8S rRNA gene, ITS2, 28S rRNA gene". The record is from RNAcentral. Lineage: Eukaryota; Fungi; Ascomycota; Dothideomycetes; Pleosporales.
AACGCACAUUGCGCCCUUUGGUAUUCCUUAGGGCAUGCCUGUUCGAGCGUCAUUACAACCAUCAAGCGCGGCUUGUUGUUGGGCGCCUGUCCCGCCUCCGGCGCGGACUCGCCUCGAAUCGAUUGGCGGCCCCUCCCGGCGGCUCGGAGCGCAGCAGAAUUGCGACUCUACCCGCGGGGACGGCGGCACCCAGAAGCCUUUCCUUCAUAAUCGACCUCGGAUCAGGUAGGGAUACCCGCUGAACUUAA